UUUUUUUUGCUAGGGAAGCAAGCAAUAGUCGUAGUAUUGAAGUAUAAGCUUCUCCCAUAUUAGUGUUUGUUCCAAAAUGAACAUUUUGAACAACGCACAACACGCAUUAUGAACUUCUCCUCAACCAUCUUUUUGUUCAUUUUUUAUUUUUGUUUUUACAGUACACAAACGGUGUCCCAACUCAUAUAUUUUUUCAAGUGACAAAUUGUUAUUUUUGGAAAGAACCACAUUGAGCUAUGAAUAUGUCUGAUCGAAAAUUCAGGUUUGGGAAGCAAGUUGUGUGUGUUGGGCAACAAGGGAUACAUAAUUCUGAACCGAAAGUGUUUGUUUUGCUUCAGGCAAUAUUUCUUUCAGAUUUAGUAUAAAGAUUCAGUAAGGAUUCAUGGAAUUAGCAAUAUUAAAGCAAGAAUACCCAACAUCGCUUGUGUAGAUUCAGCCAACGAAAACCAUACAUGUGGGACUUGAACUACCGUAGAUGAAUGACAAUAGUAGAACAUAUUUAAAUUCUUGGCAUGGAAGGUCAACUUUGUUCUGCUCUCCAGAGCGUGACGCUAGCCAACACACGUCCAGCAAGCCCAUAAGCACACAUGUCUAGUAUCCAGCAACAGCAAGGAAUGCAAACCACCGCGAAGAAAAGUGCAUAGCUGUAGUAGGACUUUGGCGUAUAGUUGUUGUAGAACUUCAUGCAACGUCUAUGAACAUCCGAAUGGUUGUAAAGGGGAAAAUGAGAAAUUUUCCUGUAAAUUAGACACACACAUGCACACCCCUGCAGUUUUAUCAAGAUUGUUAAAUCCAGUUAGCACAUUUUCACAUGAGCAACACAUCCACAUGUAGGAGCACGUCUGAUGUACCUGAGAACUCAUAUAUAUGCACCUACAGGAAGAGCAUCAAGUCUCAUAUACGGUUAAACAUUUUUUCUAUAUUCUUUGGUGCACCUGAACCUUUGCAACAUUUUUACAUAAACUUCUUGUUUUAUGGGAGAGAGAGCACUUAGCCGGAGAGGGUUCACCGUUUCUAAUGCCAGAAGAGGUCAUCGGUAGGGGAGGCAGUGUAGAAAAAAUCUUUGUGGUGUCCCGCAGCCGGUGUAGAGCCGAGUAGCACGCAGCCGGUGUCCUGCGAAGGAUCUACACGAGCGAGCAGGCGAGGAGGCACUGCACGCGGAGACGAGGUUGGACUACACGACGGUCGGUAUUGGACGGUGCAUGGGCCGCCUCGGCGCUCGAAGCUGCACUAGACAAAGCCCAGGAGGACGAGCGUCAUGCAGGACUGGUGCAACAACGUGGAUUGGGGCCGACAGGACGCUGGUGGCUGGCGGUGGAGACCAGGAGGCCGGACAAGAUGGCGUUGAGCCACUGGCGGCGUUAGUGCGGAGAAGACAUAGUGUUGCGAAGCAGAGGCCACUGUAGGGAGUGUGGACAGGGGAUUGGGAGAGUGGGGCUCACCGGCCCUAGGCGGAUCCGCGCGCGUCGAUGGUCGUGGUUACCGGAUCCUCGCCGGCGCCACACGAAGGUAGCGGUGGUUACCGGAUCCUCGGUGGCGGCUUGCGGGGCAGGCGGUGGUGGCUGGAUCCGAGGUGGUGGCGAGUUGGAUAGCUGGCGACGGCGUCUCUUGUUGGGGACAGGGCGGCGACGACGGAAGCGGUCGGUGGCGGGGCGGCGGCGGCGACGGUCGGUGGCGGGGUGGUGUUGGCGACGGGCGGUGGCGGGGCCACGAGGGCGUCUCCGGUUAGGGGCGGGAUGGUGGCGCCUCGCCAGUUGGGGGUGGGUGCCUGGGUGGUGCAGGGGAUCGGGGAUCGGGGAUGGGGUGGUAGUUUUAGAAUCGGCCUUUUCUUUUUGUUUCAGCGAUUUUCGGAGGAACCCUGCCGGGCCUUUAUAGGAAGUUGUGAUUCAAAUAACUAUUCUAAUCAUAGGAUUAGAAUAGUGCUAUUAUAUAUAUAUAUAUAUAUAUAUAUAUAUAUAUAUAUAUAUAUAUAACUAUGCAUACUGUUCCGAAGUUCAAUGUUCAGUUUACAAGCAGUGCACCAAAUGUUUAUGCAUCAGUUAUAGGAAAAAAGAUUAAAAAACCUAUGCAUAACAGAUGCAUCAGUGCUGAACAUGUCCAUUCACCAGUUCGACUGAAACUAUAUCAGAUACAAAAUAGACAACAAAGUUUAAUAACGCCUAGCGAUGCAAGUUCAACUUGUACAUUACCUUCAGUGCAUGACAUGUUACCCAUAUCAUGUAUAUGAGAAAAUGCAGAAAAGAUUAAUCCCAAAACUAUUGAAUGUCAUUCCAGAAACAUGCAAGGUGGCACACGUAGGGAGGGUUUGAUGAGCCAAGAAGAUAUGAGGCACCGUCUGGCUGGGUAACACCAGAAAUAGCACCUGGAUACUUCAACAAUACAUGCAGAUUUCAAGCUACACCAGAAUCAUGAGAAGCACGGACUGGUUCUUCUAUGCAGCAGACACCGAUAUCUAGGAAUACAAGCUUUGCCACUGCUGGGGUGCAACAAGGUCAACAAUGUCCCCAACAACAAAUAUUUUCCUUUCCUAGCGCAAGCAGAAAGGCAAGGACACUCAGGCUUCCACCCGUCACUCCAUCAACAUCAAUCAUCUGUGCUACAAAAGCGGUUGCGACGGGAAGACGAGGCCAAAGAGACAGGAAUGUUUGCCACUCUAGCAGGGUGCAAAGUAGAAGAUAUGAGCCAUAUAGAUAGGAGCAACCUGCUAGUGAAUCUCAGGGAAGACGACCGUACAAUGAGAGACGGAGAGCUUCAUCAACAUUGCUGCAUGUGCCGAGGGUGACACCACCCGCGCCCAUACACCAGGGUGAACAGCAAACACCGGAUGUAGCGCGGAGCUAUGCACAUGUAAGUAUCCAUUCAGAAAAAACAUACAACCACAGUCCAUACCCUAGUACUGUGACCACCCCAUCUAACAUUUUCAUCACUGUGUUUUUGUUUGCUCACUGUUGUGUGCAGCCACCUAACAUUGAAGCUUACGUUCUGCCAAGGCUAGAGAUGCCCUUUGAAACUUUCAAAGAAGCAAAGAACUUCUACAACGUCUAUGCAAAGCACGCGGGUUUUGCUGUCAGAGAAGACUCCAAGGUUAACACCAAGUCUACCUUUAUUGCACGUGCUAUGGAGUCUAUGAAUUGAAGGUGUCAGAAGCAAAUAGAUAGCGGAACAAGACCACAGCCAGGACUAAUUGCGGGGCUAAAAUGAGGCUGAAGAGGGAAAAUGAUGGAACACUUGUCGUAAAAGAGAUAAUCUGGGAACACAACCACAGGCUACAUCUCUCCCCCAAAUGCUUGUCUUCUUGCACUCCCACAAAAACUUUGACAAAACAAUCUUGGAGUACAUCAAGUACCCGUGGUUCAAAGGCACUGAACACGCGUAAAUCAUGAGCAUACUGCGCGGUGAUGACCCCGGUAGCUACUUCCCCGAAAUGAAUGCCAAAGACCUGAUUAACAUGUAAGUACAAACUUGUUCUCCUCCCAUAAACCCCCUCCAUCUUUUUUCCUCUGUCAGUACAAACAUAUUACGCAACACAUGACCUAAUGCCAGUUCAACAUGCAUUUUUGAAUGACUGUUCACUUUUAAUAUGCAAGAAAGCAAAGAAUUCAAGGAUGGAUGAUGUGGACGAUGUCCUAAACACUGUCAACUUAUUUAGGGAGAUGAAAGCGAUAAACAAGGAAUUCUUCUGCGACAUACAACUUGAUGAGUCCGACAGAGUGAAGAACAUAUUCUGGGCGAACGCAGGCUGCCGAGGGGCAUAUCAAGACUUUGGUGACUGCGUAACGUUUGAAACCACAUAUAAGACCAACAAGUACCAUAUGCCACUUGGGGUGUUUGUGGGUACUAACAACCACUUACAGACUAUAUUCUUUGCUUUCGCCCUGAUAAUAGAUGAGGAUGCAGAUUCAUUCACAUGGUUGUUCAAAAGCAUUUUGAAGGUGCAUGAGAGGGAAGGCUCCUUCAUGCAUCCUCACAGGUACAAACGCCACCCCCAAAGGAAAAUAACAUAGUAAAAUUAUUGUGUCGGUUCUAUUUGUAUAUAUGCACUACCAUCCGCUGACCACUCCACGUCUCUUUUCUCAUUACCAGACCAGUGCCCGGCAAUGGCUUUGGCGAUCCCAGAUGCUUUCGGGGACACAGUACAUAAGCUAUGCCGCUGGCACAUUAUGAAGAAGUACAGGGAACACCUCGCAUACCUAUACAACCUCCACGAAGAGUUUAACGAUGAAUUCACAGCAAUCCUCAACUAGCCCCUCAUGCCAACUGAGUUUGAGGCUGCCUGGAAAGCACUCAUAGAUAAGUACAACCUCCAUGAUGAUGCCACAACGGUGGCAAUGUGGAACGAGCACGAGAAAUAGAUAUCAUCUUACUUCAAAGAAAUUUUCUGUGCCAAAAUGACGUCCACACAAAGGAGUGAGAGCAUGAACUAUGUGCUCAAGAAGAACUUCAUAAGUGAGAGACAAAACCUGCACCGGUUCGUCAGCCAAGUAAACUCCUGCGUCAAAACCAGGAGGCAGACAGAGAACUAGGAGACAAUAGGUAACCGGGUAUAGCUCUAUCACCUGUCGUAAGACAAAAUAACGUGCUUACUAAAGUAAAUCUUUCUUAGUUAGACAAGUUUUUGCUGUGAGAAAAUUAAUAAUUUGUUCAUGACUCUUGCUUGCACAGAAGGAACAAAACACGCUGACCUUCUAUGGGUUUGACAAUCAGAUGGCAAAGCUUUACUCAUGAGCUGUGUACAGCGAGAUCAGAAAAAGGCUAAAACUAAGCACCCUCUUCACGGUGACAGAGACGGAAGAGCCCAGAAAGUACCUUGUGCACUACAACAAACCACAAAAACUGUUUGCGUGGUCUCAGCACGCGUUCCAGGUGGUUGCAGACCCCAUGGGAGAAAUAUUUGACUGCAAGUGCAAGCUGUGGGACCACAAAGGCGAGGUCUAAAAAAGAUGUUACAUACUGUAGUACUUAUUUUUGCAAAGUUUUUGUUCGAAUGAAAUGACAGAAAACAUGCACCUCUUUCAAAAAAUAGGUAUUUUCUGCCUGCAUGUCCUAUGCAUGAUGCAUAUAAUUAAGGCUGACCGUGUUCCAGAGAAAUACAUCCUCAGGAGAUACACCAAACACCCGAACAUCCAGCCAACAUUCAACAGAAAUGACUUGAGGACAGUAGCGUCAAACAAGGCCUCCCAAUACGGCAUUGAAAGCGCACCGCUGUAGCUGAACAUGUGGGUGCACAGAAAAAGCUUGAGAAGCCAUGAGAAAAUGGCGAGGUCACAUGUCAUCAUGGAAAGACUUGACCAAGAACUCGACGCCAUGCAUUCUGCUGAAAAUGACAAUGUCGCGGACAACGAAGCCAUUGAGCAGGAUAUUGCUACAAUCUUAUCUGAGAUGAACCAUCUGGGAGCUAUUGACCCAUACGACAACGAGGAAGAGGAGCAACAGCAACCAGAGCUUGCCCAUGUGCACACUCAAGAGCAACAACAUGCUCACGUGCAAGAUCAUGAGCUUGACGGUGCUGUAGGCGAACGACAUGAAAACAGGACAUCCUACCAGCAGCAGCAGGAAAGGGUAAUUAAACCACCCAUAUUCUCAAACACAAGGGGGGGGAUAAUAAGACGCAAGCAGCGAAAGCAGCAAAAGCAGCAGCCAAAAAGCCGCCACGCCCCAUCAGACGCGUGGAAUUCGGCCCGGAUGGCAAACCUCUCGGGAUAAGGGCAUGCGGAUUCGGCAACAUGGUGACCAAUCAUAAUUACCACACAUGCCCAUAGCACACAUAUGCCACUAUCAACAAGCAAAAGCUGUAGAAGUAGAUUGGAGCCGCCCAGGUUUCUACCAAUGGAGACGACUCACGUAACAGCUACACUUGCAACAAGUGUGGGGGGACCGACGGACAUAAUGCCCGCACAUGCAAAGUGGGCAAGGAGGUCAGUGGCGCUGAACAGAAAUAGGGCAAGGUCCAAAGUUCCAAGAAAUCAAAAGAAGAGGAUGAGGAAGAAGAGUUUGACAAGAAUGGCGACCAAUCAGAUGAAGACAAUGAAGAUGACAGUAUUGGGGACGAGGAAAAUGAAACUGACGAUGAAGCUGCCAAGGCUCAAGCAGGAAAGGACGCCAACAAGGGACAACAUUCGGGGCCAGUUAGAAGGAGCUCAAGAUUGAAGAAUCCAUAGUGGUUAUGCUGCUGCAUCAACUCAAAAAUAAGCUUGUACUCUUGGUUGCCUCGGUACACAAUGAGGAAUCAUAUCAGAAACACUGUCGUUACCAAAACUUAUUUAGCUUUAUCAUCGAUUUCUCGAUCAGUACUAUAGUUAAGAUAUAAUUUGUGAUUUGUGCCCGCUGGACCAGUGACAUUAUUACAUAAACCAUUUGAUAAACCUUUUGAAUGCAGUCACAAAUAUAUUUGAAAAAAUUGAUCUGGAUUUAUGUAACGUCAACACUACUAUCGACCAGUAACUCAGCAAAAAUUUGUUAAAGAAAAUUUAAACUCUUAUUGUAGAUCAGUAUUUGAAAACAAUCAGUACAAUUUGAGUUGCUUAACAACGCUUCAAAAGUUGAAGCAAAAAAUCUUAGUACUUCAUGUACUGUUCUCAUCCAUAUGUAGCUGCUAGAAAAUUAACAAGUACUACAACUGAAAAAGUUAAGAAGCAUCAGCACACACUUAUAUUGGUCACUUGCAGACUAAGAAUGAUAGUACUAGUACACUUGAACGGAUAGUACAUAUUUACUACAAUAAAAAGUACAAAGAAGCAUUAGUUCGCAAUCCCUCAAAGAAAUAAAUGUCAGACUAAGCACAUAAGUGCUACUAUGAAUGAACUCUCAGUACAACUUAGUUUACAUGCAAGUACUAUAGUGCUAAAAAUGAUACCAGAAGACCCUUGAGAAUAAUCACAAAAACAAACACAAAAAGAAGGCAAAAACUCAAUGGAAAGAUAACACUUCCACAAAACUCACAAGAACUACAACAAAAAGUAUCAGUCCACAUUACUGGUGGAGUCAAGUAUUAGAUUCAAACCCAAAAAAAAUUAAAAAUUGACAGCCCGAAGACAGGCAAGCCCUGACACAGCUAGAUACUUGAACUCGAGCCCACGACGGAACCGUUGGCGAAUCCCUAGUAAUCGGCACAACACAGGGCCAACCAACCAGGGCACACGGGUCAUGAGAGGGAGCGAGCGUCGUGUAUAAGUGCUCAGGUAAGUAUCCAGAGGAGUUCGACCAGUAAGACUCGACAGCGCUUAUAAACAGGUCGAGAGCCCCCUCGCUUAGCGAGGUGGGACUAAACCCAGAGCACACGCACAUCCAACAGUCCUCAAAUCGCCCGCGCGGGCCAUUUGGGCCAAAAAGGGCCCAAUAGCCUCCAUCUUCUCCAAACACCCCACCCAUAAGGCCAAUUGAAUAAAGCAGAGCGCGAGGCAAAGAAAUAUAAACUACAAAAAAAAUGUUCGAAAACUGGAAAUAAAAAAGUUCAAAUACUUGUUCGCAGGAAAUAACUUUAAAUACAAAAAUAAAAAUAAUUUUAGCUCUGCACCAUAGAUGAUAAAAAUGGAAAAAAUAUGAUAUAAAAACAACAAAACUUUGAAAAGUGGAGAACUUAAUAGGCUAUAUGUUAAAUGUACAUAAUUUAAACCAGCGAAUUAAAUAUUACUUUCAAGUUCAACUACUAAAAUGCAAGAAGUUCAAAUAGAUAUUGUUUGUCAAUUAUGCUAAAUUUCUUAUUUAUAUAAAAUCUGACUAGAGCUCAACUAACGAUUUCGUCGUAAAUAAUCUACAUCCCAAAAAAACUCAGUUCAAACAUACAUACGACAUCAGUACUACAAAACCAGGAAGGGUCAGGCCACUCACCUUACAUCCACACACCAUUGUGACACCAAUUUUCAAAACCUUACGCUAUAUGAAAUUACAAUUCAGUACCCACAGCACUAAACCAUAAGUACACUAAAAAGAGAGUACAAAAACUAUAAAGGCCUAACUUAGGUUGGGACAGAUGAAAAUAAAAUAAGUCCUAGUUUUGAGGAAUAGCUCACAGUGCAGUAAAAAAAGUUUUGAUAUCAACUAGUGUAUAAGACUACAGUGCAAAAAUAAGACUUAUCCUCCACACUAAAAACAUAACAAAGUAUAUGUCACUUAAACAAUACAAAAUGCCAUCAUCACUGACCCUGAGACAUGCAAGUGGGAUAAACACCUGAUAAGUAUAGCUUAACAAGACGGAUCAGUGCGACAGUAAAAAACCCUUGGCUUGGACGGUUGGUUCUUCCAGGCCACCACCCGCGCCACCCACUGGGCGGUUGCCACGACGGACUACAAUGGUGACCCCACGACCAGUACCCCCAUGACCGGGAAGAACCGCCUCCCCCACGUCCCAAACCACGCCCUCCAAAAGCCCCAAAUCGACUCCAUCCCUGCCACAUCUCUAAAAACCACCAUUGCCGCUUCGAUCUCCACUACAAACAACCCACAAACAUCUCUGUUCCGAGCCCACAGUCGCCAGGAGGGCAAUGGCAGAGGAACCAUCUGCCAAGCGUCAUCGUGGCGAGACGUCCGACCAGAGCAGCAACCUCGACGAUGUUCAUGUCCCCGACAAGAAGCGCGAGUACACCCGAACCCACACAGGGGUUGAGCUCCACGGCAAGGAGACACUGGAGAUUGUCUGCACCAGUGAACCAGACAAGGCUGACGAGAUGAUGAGCAGGCUCAGGAUGAAGCGCGACGGCUUGUAUCCUAGCUUCAUCGGAGUUGAUGUGGAGUUUACCAAAAAAGAUGAACCUCCCCAGAUGGCAGCAGUCCUGCAGUUAUGCGUGGAGGAACUCUGCUUGGUGUACCACAUUGCAGCAGCCACAAAAUGGUGAUCCAUACUACUCUUCAUUCAUAUGUUUUAUUAGUACUACUCCCUAAAAAUUUCAUUAAACUUGUUUCCCAACUAGAUGAACUACUGUAGUUUGUGAACUGGAUGCACGAGUACAUGUUUCUCAAGUAGAUGCGCUAUAAUAUAAUUUGAAACUGAUGCACUGGAUUAGCAUCUGAAAUUGUUUCACCAGAUUAAUUUCUGAACUUGAUGUACUAGCAUAGUUUCUAAUCUUGAUGCACUAGUGUAGUUUAUAUAGUUGAUCUAUUAAAAGAUGUUUCUAAACUUGAUGUACAGAAGUAUUUUCUGAACCUGGUCUGAUGUUAUUUUCAGCAGCAAAAAGUAAAGUAAGAAUUUGGUCAAGCACUGGUAUAGGUCUUUUAUUCAACAAAAAGAAAACUAAAAUUGAAGUAAGCAGCACAUAGAUCAUUUACUCUGGUUAUAGGUUCUUGAAAUUGGUGAAGCAUUUGGUGAAGCACUGAAGAUACCAAAAAAGAAAAAUAACAUGAUGUACUUGAAUUUAAUUUCAAAACUUUGUGUACUAGUUUCUGAACUACAUUCAUCCAUGACUUAUACUAUAUAAGCAUCUACCUCAUGGAUUAUCACUUGUAAACCAAAAAACAGAAGGAUUAAAUCUUCAAAAAAGAACACUAAUCUUCAAUAUGUGUCUCCCCCUUGCAGGCCCAAGUGCCUCAAAGAAUUCCUGCAGGAGCAGAAAUUGUACACAUUUGCCGAUUUCAGCAUUGAAGGUGACAAAAGAGAAGUUGAAGAUGUCUGGUUUGGAGAUCAACCCCAAGAACUUCACCGACAUUCAGCGCAACUGGAGAGUUCUACGCAUCGGAAAAGAGUACGACUCCUUGGCUGAUGUUGCAGCCAGUGUCAUCCACCCAUUCUACAAAAGCAUGAAGAAGAAGAUAGAUAAGGAGGAAGACCACAAACUGUGGGGGAUCAGCCCGCUCCCAUACAAGCUCAUCGAGUACACAGGAAUAGAUGUGUACGCCACAUACAAGUCAUGGAAGAUAAUUGACAACAUCAUAACAGGUUGGGAAAUUUCAAAAGAGGAGGAGGCUGACCCAUACUACCACUGCCACUACGCGAUAUGAAGAGACAUCAAAGUCUGCCUUCGUGUUGCUUGCGCUUAUGCUUGUCCUUUAACUUGUUGUUUCAAAUUUGUAGUUUGCUUUUGUUAGGUUGAGCCAGCUUUCUUAUGCCAUGUGUGUCAGGGUUGAACAAGUUUGCUUAUGUAAUCAAGUACAUCGUUCGCUUGUGUCAUUGAACAAGUUUGAUAGCUUUCUAUUUUGUUUAUCCAUCAUUUGAAGUUGAAGUAAGUUGUGAAUGAAACUUUGUGGCUGCUAUGCAACACUAGUCAUGGAGCAACAAAUCACAGAUGGAUAUUUUCACAAAAUAGUGGCAGACUAAAAACAAUAACAAAUAGUAGCCUUGGACGCUCAGUACAACUUUGUCCUAUAUUGUAGUACUAUCACACUAAAAAUUAGUUUUUAGUUUCAGAAGAACACUAAAAAUACUAAGUUGCAGCCGAGGACAACAUUCAGUACUAAUAGCAUCAUGCUUAUAGUCAUUAGAAAAUUACUAAGUACUACAACAGGAAAAACCAAGAACCAUCAGUACGUAUUUCAUAGUCACUAGCAUACUAGGUGUGAAAGUACUGGUACACUUGAACACAUAGUACAUCCAUUCUACAAAAAUAAAAAGGAACGGGAAGUGUCAGUUCGCAUUCCCUAAAACAGUGACACACUAAGAAUAAUAGUGCUAGUACAAUUGAAAUCUCAGUACAACCUAGUUUAUACGACAAGUACUAUGAUGAUACCAAAUAAUGCCUUGAGAAUAACCACAGCCUAGAAAAAAGAAGGCCAAAACUAAAUCAAAAAGAUGUCAGUUCGACCAAGGAGAAAAAACACAAGAACCACAACAGAAGCACCAGUCCAAAUUGACCAAUGAGGUACUAGUUUCAAACAAUACAAAACAAAAUGAUCAUGGUGCUAGUACAAUUGAAAUCUCAGUACAACUUAGUUUAUAUGGUAAGUGCUAUGAUGAUACCAAAUAAUGCCUUGAAAAAGAAGGCCAAGACUCAAUCAAAAAGAUUACAGUUCAAUCAAGGACAAAAAAUCACAAGAACAAACAACAGAAGCAUCAGUCCACAUUAACCAGUGAGGUACUAGUUUCAAACAACCAAAAAAAUGAUGACCACCCAUGGACAGGCCAACCAUGCACAGGAGGAUACACUUGGACUCAAGCCCAUGACGGAACCAUUGGCGAAUCCAUAGUAAUCGAGACUAUGCGGGCCAGCCGUCAAGGGCCAACAGGUCAUGGAAUAGAGAGCGAGCGCCGUGUAUAAGCGCCCAGGUUAGUAUAUAGAGGAGUUCAACAGGCAAGGAACAACAAUGCUUAUAAACCGGUCGAGAGCCCCCUCGGCUAGCGAGGUGGGACUAAACUUAGAGCACUUGCAUAGCCAGCAGUCCACAGUCAUGUGCACGGGCUAUUUGGGCAAAAAAAGGGCCCAAUACGACUACUACUCCCUCCUCUCCAAACUCUCCUCGCCCCACCCCAUAAGGCCCGCUGAAUAAACCAGAGCGCGUGCCAAAGAAAAUAUAAACUAGUACAAAAAAGUUCGAAAACUUAAUAUAGAAACGCUCAAAUACAUGUUUGCACGCAAAAUAAUUCUAAAUUCAAAUACAAAAAUAAAAUAAAUUUACCUCUUCAGCACAGAUAAAAGGAUUAAAAAUAUGCUACAAAAACAAAUAUACUUUGAAGUUCAACUAUAUAUGCUACAAAAAUAAUUAUGAACUUAAUAGGGCUAUCUGUUAAAUGUAGCUAAUUUAACCAGUGCUUUAACUUUUACUAUGAAGUUGAACUACUAGAAUGCAAGAAGUUCAAACAAAUAUUUGGCUCUCAAUUUUGCUAAAUUUCUUAUACAAGGAAGCAUCACUCCACUCAUGCUAGAUCCACAAAUACUAUUGUGACACCAAAUUUUAAAAGCCUUAUGUUGUAUGAAAUUACAAUUUGGUACUCACAGAACUAUACCAUAAGUACAAGAAAAGAGGGUACAUAAACUAUAAAGGUCCAACUUAGGUUGGGACCGAUGAAAAUAAAAUAAAUGUCACCUUUUCAGCAACAACUCGUAAUGCACUUGGAAAAAAGUGUUUUAGUUCAACUAGUAUAUAAGACUUCAGUGCAAAAAUAAAACUUAACCAAAACAAAUUCCCGAUAAAACAUACACAAGUGAAACAGCUGUUCAACCACAUUCUCAUCAUGGAAAAAAGUUUGUAAAACGUUGUGCCACACUUAAAAACAUCACAAAGUAUACCGGUUAUUACAUAGUUGACAAGACACCCAAACACUACAUACAAAGCCUACAAUGCUUUCAAGACAUAAAUCACACAAGUAUCCCAUUCACUAUGCAAAUGAUAACCAUUUGUUCUAUGCACCAGGAGCCAAAGCUUGAACCUCCUCGGGAAGCUUGUAGCACCCCAGCUUAGAGCAACCAGUUUACCUUGCAUUGCCAGCCUAGAGAUCAAGUCUUCUGGCAACACACAACAACUUGGUACAAAAAACAACCACUUUAUUGAUGCUAGCAGAAACAUAGGUUCAAUAUUACAUCAAGUAGCGAGGCCAAGCAGCACACACGGUGCGGCUGAACAAUAUGUACAUUAUUUAAUGAACAUGAAGGGGCCUCGAUCACGAUAACUACGCGACAGCGGAACGACGACGAAGCGGAACUCCAUAGCACAGGGACACCGAUGUGGACACGAUCUAGACACGGGAAGCACUUCGAUCCGGUAAGACUUUCCUGAAAUCUGGCAUGACACGCCAGGUCAGUACAUUGAAUGUACUUGCAAGCUCACAACAAGCAUAAGCAUAAUGGCAAACAAUAUCAUGACAAUUAAUCAAUUUAAAUGGAAUGCAAUAACAUACUACUAAUGUAGUGAAUAAAACUUGUGCACCGAGUCCCUCGGACUCUCUUACCAAACGGGUUACCUCGUAACCAAGAUCAUCAUACGGUGAUCACUCCCGGAUCACAGACGAACCAACACUUUGGUUCCGACGAUAACGACCAUCUUCAUGGUCUCACAAAUCCCGUCACAUAAUCAGUGCCAAGCAUAUAAGUUUAGUGUGCAAGAUUACUUAAUCAUGUUGAUCCAUGGUGUGAUCUACUUACGAGCUGUGUCCGUAACUGAGGAUGCGGCUAUCGAUAGAUUUAAUAAACACUCUGCGGAGGUAGUAGACUGGACCCACACUACGGAACCCAUGGCCGUGUCUCGUCUCUCUUCCGCAUGAGGCGUGCGAGCCGCGAGGUACCCCUCGAUGCUGGAAAGCCUCGUGGACCGCGGAGGAACGGAUGGGAUAUUCGGGGCUGACCCAGUUGAAACCCAGUGUGCCAAACGGCACUCUUGGGCUUUUAGGGGCUUUAAGCCUGACGGGGAAAUCCACUAAAAAACCCUGUGAUCGCAGUGUGCCAAACAAGGCCUCAUGCCUUGUUAGGCAGGAAGGGUUUUCAAGCCCCAAUGGGGCUGGGGAUUAUUGGGGAUUUGGUGAACCCCUCCCCGCACCAAAUCCCCUCAAAUCCACUUCCGCCUCCCAAGCCCCUUCCCCAUCUAUCCAUAUAUGAGUGUUUGGCAUGUAGGGACAAAUUUGGUCCAUUUUAAACAUGAACUUCAACAACACACUGGUAAAAAUCCGAUCUUUACUAUUGAACAGGCUGAAGCAUCAGUGGCCAUAUCAUCAAGUACUACUAAAAGCAACAAAUCAUAAUCUUUAAGAUCAAUGGCAUCUAAACUAAGAACAUCAAAGGCCAUACAACACGAUCAGAUCAUAGUUUAAACAUCAUAUGUCAAACACAGGCAUGCAUCAGCAUGUACCAACGACACCUAGGGUGCAACACAAACAUCACUUAAAUUCGGUUUCUGCUUCCCAGCAUAGUUUCAGUUUCGCAACGACAGGCAUGCAUCACUUCAGUUCCAUCGCAUCCCUGAAAGUAGCAACUCAAUCAAAACAUUAGACAUACCAGUCAAACAAUUCACAGCUACAAGAGUACUUCAAAUACUUUCUGAAGAAAGAAAAGUAACAGGGGGGAAAUAUGGCAUGGAGCCCGUUUCUUAUACUUCAUGAUCUAAAACAGAUGGACUCACUCUCCUUUGUCAAAAAGUAUAACAAAAUUUAUAUGUGAUGUACUUGAGCCAGAUUUAACUUGAUGCAAACAGAGAAAAGCAAGCUCUAGCAUCAGGUCACAUAGAUAUCUCACAUCGAGUACUAGCACUGGAAACUCACAACUAAAAAUUUAUACGUACAUACCAUAUAUACACUACAGAAGGUUGACAGAAACUCUUUGCAUAUACACUGCGGAUCAUAUAUAUGUACAGAUCAUAUCUAUGUACAUCUCAAAACUAAAAAUUUAUAUGUACAGAUCAUAUAUACAACUACAAAUUUUGAUUUAGUAUGAUUGUUCAGUACCAAAGUGUAUCUAUUUCUCUAACAAAAACACUACAAUUACUUUCUUGCUGAUUGCCCAACAUUAUGGUUUAGUUUCUUCCUACUAUUUGCCCUUUAUUCAAAUUAGUAUGCAUACAAAGCAUUCAUUCACAAGAAAAACAUGUUUGUUCCAAGCUAAUCAGGAAUAGGAGCUUAUGUAUAUUCUCAGUUCGGAGAUGAGAAAUUGAUUUCUAGCUAAUCAGGAAUAUGAGCUUAAGAACAAGACCAAGCAAGCAAGAACAUUAUGAACCAGAUCAAAAUACCUCUUCUAGGUAGGCAACUCAUCCAUUUCGCUCCGAAGCCACAUGACCGCACUCUCUUCUUGAAGUUUGAUGAACAUGUAAGAUAACAAAGAGCUCGCUAUUACAUUAUAACAAAGAGCAUCAUAAAUGUUUGUUCUAAGCUAAUCAGGAAUAAGAGCUUAAUUAUAUUCUCAGUUCAGACAUGUGCAUGCAUAUGCUCAGUUAGCAACCACAUAAAUAUACUACAACUAGUCAUCUCAGAUGAGAAAUUGAUUUCUAGCUCUUGUCUGCAUGUAUUUUACUCAUCUUAGCAAAUCACACCAGUAACAGUUAACUUCGACCAGUUUUGAAUUUCAUCAACAUCUAACACAGGACAAUGUAGAUAUAUUUUUAGCACAUAGUGCCAAAAUUAAUCAGAUUGAUGUUAUACCAAUGAAACUUAUGUGCAGCAAAAUGAUUCUCUACUCACAUUUCUGCACUACAUCCAAUUGUCAAUAUCUAAUACAAAAUGGUUGGCUGUAUUUUGUUACUUUGUUAUCAGAUAUGUACUAUAUGCUAAUAAUAAUGGGAUUUUUUUUACUAUGGAGUAUAAAAUCAGUACAGAAAGGUAGAGAUCCUACUUGAGCAUCUACAUGUAUAAUUUUAAGGCAUAGAUAAAUGACAUCAAAAAAGGGUUGGAGUUGUCUUGAAUAGUAGUCCAGAUCUUGCAGCAACUAACUUCAAAUAGGGGGAGGUGGAAUGUUAUGGGGAAGCAGGCAGAGGAACAACAGGGAGGGUCUCUCACAGCGGUUGUGCUGGAAAGGGGAGAGGAGCUGGUGGN
This 15376-nucleotide long non-coding RNA is filed under the name Triticum aestivum (bread wheat). Its description in RNAcentral is "long non-coding RNA (TAES_LNC019624)". The record is from RNAcentral. Lineage: Eukaryota; Viridiplantae; Streptophyta; Magnoliopsida; Poales; Poaceae.